AUCCAGCUGACACGUGCCAAAUAGGAUGAAACACUUGUCCUGUAU
This 45-nucleotide non-coding RNA is filed under the name Schistosoma curassoni. Lineage: Eukaryota; Metazoa; Platyhelminthes; Trematoda; Strigeidida; Schistosomatidae. The record is from RNAcentral.